AAAGUCAAACUCCAUUGGACAUUGAGGUUUAGACUUUGCAAAUGCCAAGGCCCUUUAGGCACUGAGAGUUAAACCCUGCGAAGUCCAAGGGCCUUUGGACACUGCACUUUGGACACUGUUUGUGCCAAGGAGCGGAUGGACACGCGACGGGGAGCUCGAGGUCUUUCUCACCAGGGACAAUCCUCCCGAGCCCCUGAGGCACUGACAGAC
Cyanistes caeruleus (blue tit) is the source of this 210-nucleotide non-coding RNA. The record is from RefSeq and is a predicted model, not a curated record. Lineage: Eukaryota; Metazoa; Chordata; Aves; Passeriformes; Paridae.